RNAcentral lists this ribosomal RNA (421 nucleotides) under uncultured bacterium. RNAcentral's name for it is "bacterial SSU rRNA". It matches the Rfam family "Bacterial small subunit ribosomal RNA", at positions 361 to 773 of the family's 1533-position model. The record is from RNAcentral.
AUAUUGGACAAUGGGCGCAAGCCUGAUCCAGCCAUGCCGCGUGCGUGAAGAAGGCCUUUUGGUUGUAAAGCACUUUAAGCGGGGAGGAGGCUCUUCUAGUUAAUACCUAUGAUGAGUGGACGUUACUCGCAGAGUAAGCACCGGCUAACUCUGUGCCAGCAGCCGCGGUAAUACAGAGGGUGCGAGCGUUAAUCGGAUUUACUGGGCGUAAAGCGUACGUAGGCGGCUUUUUAAGUCGCAUGUGAAAUCCCUGAGCUUAACUUAGGAAUUGCAUUCGAUACUGGGAAGCUAGAGUAUGGGAGAGGAUGGUAGAAUUCCAGGUGUAGCGGUGAAAUGCGUAGAGAUCUGGAGGAAUACCGAUGGCGAAGGCAGCCAUCUGGCCUAAUACUGACGCUGAGGUACGAAAGCAUGGGGAGCAAAC